Molecule: long non-coding RNA, 656 nt
Organism: Magnolia sinica
Lineage: Eukaryota; Viridiplantae; Streptophyta; Magnoliopsida; Magnoliales; Magnoliaceae
Exons: 3
Source: RefSeq, a predicted model, not a curated record
AAUGCAGACAUAAAAAGCUUGAGAUUGGUUCGUGCUGAAAAAUGGAUUCACUUUCAAGGCUUGGUGACUUUUGCCUUUACAUCAUUCCCAUUACCUAUUUAUUUUUCAGAUUGUGAAGGAGACUUGGGUACGGGCUGGACGGUGUGUUAGGGAUUUCACUCUCUACACUGGCUCCCUUGGGACAGCAUUCUUACUUUUCAAAGCAUAUGAAGUCACCAAGAACAAGAAUGAUCUCAAUCUCUGCAUUGAAAUUGUGAGGGCUUGUGAUACUGCUUCACGAGAAUCAAGACAUGUGACAUUCAUCUGUGGUCAGGCUGGUGUGUGCGCCCUUAGUGCCGUGGCUGCAAAGAACGCUGGGGAUCAUGCACUGCUCAACCACUACCUAUCCCAGUUCAAAGCGGUAAUGCUUUGAAAAUUUGUUGGCUAGAAAGUUAGUAAUGGUUGUCUUCUUGAGCCGAAAAAGAUAUUUAUGCGAUGUACUACCUCAUUUGGCCAUCACUUCUCUUGGGGGUUUCUGGACUGUGUAUGAAUUGCCACUUCAUAGGGUAUGGUCGUGAAGGAAAUCAUCAAGGAUGGAAUACGAUUAGCCAACAAGGGUAGUUGCCCAUUGAUGUACGUAGCAUUUAUUUCGGUCCAAUAAAGUCAAUUCAUCAUAA